ACUUUAAAUGGGAGGAUUUUUAAAUUUAUUUUUUAAAACUGUAUUUUAUUUCCUUGCAGAUCUUUUCUCUAGAAUUUGAGGGAAAAUGUCAGGAAUCACGUUGGUAGACGGACAGGGAAGAAUUUAGCCAUAGUAGAUUAUUUGUUUUUAUAAUGAACCAAAUAUGUGCAUUGCUGUGUUGUCUUUUAUUUUCUUUCUUUUUUUCUCCCCCUUUUGGGCUGUGCUUUCCGUGAGAUGUCUUGCUGAAAUCCAAGGUACAAUAUCGUGCAAAGAUUUCUCCAUCUGAGAUUUUCUGUUUAGCGUGGAAGGUUCCGAUUUUGGUAUUUUUAAGAACUGCUCAGCUGUCAAAAGCAAACAAAACGGGAAUAAUGUUUUGACAGCGGUAUAGUGUUAAAGAAAAUACUCGAGUCUGAAUAAAAAUUGCUUAUGCUGUGGGAAACGAAGGGUAACAGAAGAAACACCUUUUGUUUACAUACACACAUGUUUAUAAUCCCAAAUUUCCAUUUCGCCGAGCGGGUCUGCGUUGGGAGUUGUAGUCACCAUAAAUGAGGGAUUUUUCUUCCAGAUUUUGCUGCCUUUAAGGCGAAGAGAGGAGGGGAGCGCACCUCCGGCAGCGCUGCCGCCCGAGCCCUGCCCGUCGCGGCGAGCGGGCACCGCAGGGCCGAAGAGGAGAUGCCGGGGGGAGCCGGCGCUCCCCACCUUUCACUCAUAGCCGCAGAGAGAGCGAGGGAGAGAAAAUUGCCCCAGACCAGGCAGCAAAAUGCUAGGUUUAGAAGACUGCGAGCCAGUUUCCUGAAUACUACUAUAAUUAAUUUGCGUGCGGAGAUCAAAGAUCCGAGGGCGAAGGAAAUAAUCGAUUCUGCCAGAAAACGCUUCCCCGGCGCAGCCCGCGGACAGCCGCCACCCACGGCAGGGCACUCAAAGACUUCGGGACUCGGCCGGCGAGGCUGCUCCGGGCACGCUGGGCGCGGUGGCCGAGCGGCACCGGCGGGCUCGGGGGAGCCUCUCGCAUCGCCGCUGCCCAAACUUGGACUGAUGUGAGCGUGAAUAAACACGAGAAACGCCGCGAAGUUCA
This 1075-nucleotide long non-coding RNA is filed under the name Parus major (Great Tit). RNAcentral describes it as "lncRNA (ENSPMJG00000016596.1)". Lineage: Eukaryota; Metazoa; Chordata; Aves; Passeriformes; Paridae. The record is from RNAcentral.